UGGGGAAUUUUGGACAAUGGGCGAAAGCCUGAUCCAGCAAUGCCGCGUGUGUGAAGAAGGCCUUCGGGUUGUAAAGCACUUUUGUCCGGAAAGAAAUCCUUGGCUCUAAUACAGUCGGGGGAUGACGGUACCGGAAGAAUAAGCACCGGCUAACUACGUGCCAGCAGCCGCGGUAAUACGUAGGGUGCAAGCGUUAAUCGGAAUUACUGGGCGUAAAGCGUGCGCAGGCGGUUUGCUAAGACCGAUGUGAAAUCCCCGGGCUCAACCUGGGAACUGCAUUGGUGACUGGCAGGCUAGAGUGUGGCAGAGGGGGGUAGAAUUCCACGUGUAGCAGUGAAAUGCGUAGAGAUGUGGAGGAAUACCGAUGGCGAAGGCAGCCCCCUGGGCCAAUACUGACGCUCAUGCACGAAAGCGUGGGGAGCAAACAGGAUUAGAUACCCUGGUAGUCCACGCCCUAAACGAUGUCAACUAGUUGUUGGGGAUUCAUUUCCUUAGUAACGUAGCUAACGCGUGAAGUUGACCGCCUGGGGAGUACGGUCGCAAGAUUAAAACUUAAAUGAAUUG
Molecule: ribosomal RNA, 564 nt
Filed under: uncultured bacterium
Lineage: Bacteria
Description: partial 16S ribosomal RNA
Rfam family: Bacterial small subunit ribosomal RNA
Source: RNAcentral